RNAcentral lists this ribosomal RNA (492 nucleotides) under uncultured bacterium. RNAcentral's name for it is "partial 16S ribosomal RNA". It matches the Rfam family "Bacterial small subunit ribosomal RNA", at positions 29 to 507 of the family's 1533-position model. The record is from RNAcentral.
AGUGAACGCUGGCGGUAGGCCUAACACAUGCAAGUCGAACGGCAGCACAGUAAGAGCUUGCUCUUACGGGUGGCGAGUGGCGGACGGGUGAGGAAUACAUCGGAAUCUACUUUUUCGUGGGGGAUAACGUAGGGAAACUUACGCUAAUACCGCAUACGACCUACGGGUGAAAGCAGGGGAUCUUCGGACCUUGCGCGAUUGAAUGAGCCGAUGUCGGAUUAGCUAGUUGGCGGGGUAAAGGCCCACCAAGGCGACGAUCCGUAGCUGGUCUGAGAGGAUGAUUCGCCACACUGGAACUGAGACACGGUCCAGACUCCUACGGGAGGCAGCAGUGGGGAAUAUUGGCCAAUGGGCGCAAGCCUGAUCCAGCCAUACCGCGUGGGUGAAGAAGGCCUUCGGGUUCUAAAGCCCUUUUGUUGGGAAAGAAAAGCAGCAGGUUAAUACCCCGCUGUUCUGACGGUACCCAAAGAAUAAGCACCGGCUAACUUCGUG